This 1430-nucleotide ribosomal RNA is filed under the name uncultured organism. RNAcentral describes it as "16S ribosomal RNA". It matches the Rfam family "Bacterial small subunit ribosomal RNA". The record is from RNAcentral.
GCGUGCUUAACACAUGCAAGUCGAACGGAAAGGCCCUGCUUUUGUGGGGUGCUCGAGUGGCGAACGGGUGAGUAACACGUGAGUAACCUGCCCUUGACUUUGGGAUAACUUCAGGAAACUGGGGCUAAUACCGGAUAGGAGCUCCUGCUGCAUGGUGGGGGUUGGAAAGUUUCGGCGGUUGGGGAUGGACUCGCGGCUUAUCAGCUUGUUGGUGGGGUAGUGGCUUACCAAGGCUUUGACGGGUAGCCGGCCUGAGAGGGUGACCGGCCACAUUGGGACUGAGAUACGGCCCAGACUCCUACGGGAGGCAGCAGUGGGGAAUAUUGCACAAUGGGCGGAAGCCUGAUGCAGCAACGCCGCGUGCGGGAUGACGGCCUUCGGGUUGUAAACCGCUUUCGCCUGUGACGAAGCGUGAGUGACGGUAAUGGGUAAAGAAGCACCGGCUAACUACGUGCCAGCAGCCGCGGUGAUACGUAGGGUGCGAGCGUUGUCCGGAUUUAUUGGGCGUAAAGGGCUCGUAGGUGGUUGAUCGCGUCGGAAGUGUAAUCUUGGGGCUUAACCCUGAGCGUGCUUUCGAUACGGGUUGACUUGAGGAAGGUAGGGGAGAAUGGAAUUCCUGGUGGAGCGGUGGAAUGCGCAGAUAUCAGGAGGAACACCAGUGGCGAAGGCGGUUCUCUGGGCCUUUCCUGACGCUGAGGAGCGAAAGCGUGGGGAGCGAACAGGCUUAGAUACCCUGGUAGUCCACGCUGUAAACGGUGGGUACUAGGUGUGGGGUCCAUUCCACGGGUUCCGUGCCGUAGCUAACGCUUUAAGUACCCCGCCUGGGGAGUACGGCCGCAAGGCUAAAACUCAAAGGAAUUGACGGGGCCCCGCACAAGCGGCGGAGCAUGCGGAUUAAUUCGAUGCAACGCGUAGAACCUUACCUGGGUUUGACAUGGAUCGGGAGUGCUCAGAGAUGGGUGUGCCUCUUUUGGGGUCGGUUCACAGGUGGUGCAUGGCUGUCGUCAGCUCGUGUCGUGAGAUGUUGGGUUAAGUCCCGCAACGAGCGCAACCCUUGUUCACUGUUGCCAGCACGUUAUGGUGGGGACUCAGUGGAGACCGCCGGGGUCAACUCGGAGGAAGGUGGGGAUGACGUCAAGUCAUCAUGCCCCUUAUGUCCAGGGCUUCACGCAUGCUACAAUGGCUGGUACAGAGAGUGGCGAGCCUGUGAGGGUGAGCGAAUCUCGGAAAGCCGGUCUCAGUUCGGAUUGGGGUCUGCAACUCGACCUCAUGAAGUCGGAGUCGCUAGUAAUCGCAGAUCAGCAACGCUGCGGUGAAUACGUUCCCGGGGCUUGUACACACCGCCCGUCAAGUCAUGAAAGUUGGUAACACCCGAAGCCGGUGGCCUAACCAUUGUGGGGGAGCCGUCGAAGGUGGGACUGGUGAUUAGG